AGCCCGGUCAUCUAGCGGUCAAGGAUGCGAGGCUCUGGACCUCGUCACGAGAGUUCGAAUCUCUCCCGGGCUACCA
This 76-nucleotide transfer RNA is filed under the name Candidatus Bathyarchaeota archaeon. RNAcentral's name for it is "tRNA-Gln". It matches the Rfam family "tRNA". From Rfam's summary of the family: Transfer RNA (tRNA) molecules are approximately 80 nucleotides in length. Their secondary structure includes four short double-helical elements and three loops (D, anti-codon, and T loops). Lineage: Archaea; Thermoproteati; Candidatus Bathyarchaeota. The record is from RNAcentral.